GUACACGCUGUGACUAGCAUAUCAAUAAGCGGAGGAAAAGAAACUAACAAGGAUUCCCUUAGUAACGGCGAGUGAAGCGGGAAGAGCUCAAAUUUGAAAUCUUCAAGGUUUUACCUUGACGAAUUGUAGUUUAAAGAAGUGUUUUCUGCUGAAGUUUUGGUAAAAGUUCUUUGGAAUAGGGCAUCACAGAGGGUGAGAAUCCCGUCUAUGAUUGCGAUUUGUAGCUUUGUGAUACACUUUCAAAGAGUCGGGUUGUUUGGGAAUGCAGCCCAAAGCGGGAGGUAAAUUUCUUCUAAGGCUAAAUAUUGGCGAGAGACCGAUAGCGAACAAGUACCGUGAGGGAAAGAUGAAAAGAACUUUGAAAAGAGAGUUAAACAGUACGUGAAAUUGUCAAAAGGGAAGCGUUUGACACCAGUGUUGUUUUCUCGAAAAUCAAUUAAAAAUGGCUCGAUUUUGUAUUGCUUGAGACCUUAAAAGCUCACUGUACAUUUUUCGUGUCUUUUUUAAUGCACUUUUCGUUUAACAAGUCAACAUCAGUUUCUUUUGUUGUAAAAGGGUCAUUGGAAGGUGGCUUUCUUUUCGGAGAAAGUGUUUAUAGCCUUUGGCCUCUGCAAUCGGAGAGACUGAGGUCUGCAGCGUAGACUCUUCGGGGUUAGAUACAUUUGUGCUAAGUUAUAGCUUUUUAUAGACGACUUGUUGACUAUAAUUAGUCUUGUAGCUUACUCGCUUAUGCUAUUUUACCUACGCUUAGGAUGUUGAGUAGCGACAUACGCAC
RNAcentral lists this ribosomal RNA (775 nucleotides) under uncultured Neocallimastigales. RNAcentral's name for it is "partial large subunit ribosomal RNA". It matches the Rfam family "Eukaryotic large subunit ribosomal RNA", at positions 22 to 649 of the family's 3401-position model. Lineage: Eukaryota; Fungi; Neocallimastigomycota; Neocallimastigomycetes; Neocallimastigales. The record is from RNAcentral.